GACACAGGCAACAUUUUUUGGAGAUAACAUCAUACAAGACACCAGUAACUUAAGUAGAUCACCACAAGCAAGAAGCGACAGAUCAUAGAGCACAUUAAGAUAACUGAACAGCAACCUCAUUAGGAAAUAAAAACAACCACCUUACUUAAAUUGACACAAACAAAGAACGGCACACGCGCCUGCAUGCACGGAGACAACAACUUCAGUAGAUCGACAGAAGCAACGAGAGGCAGAUCGACAGAGACAACCCAACACACGCGACAUUUUCACGCGAUAACUCUAACUUAACUAGAUCGACCGGGGCGGCAAGCGGCAGAUGCGCGCGCAUGCAUGCAUGGAUGCUCUGCGCUCCCUUACAGAGCGAAGGCAGCGGCCGCCGCCGCGGCGCCGGCAGUGCGCAGUAUCUGAAAAUACAGCUGCGGAUUCGCCACGAAUGCCGCGCGGGAGAUGAAGAAGCCGGCCGCGCCUGGCGCCUUCAUCGUGGCGCCGGCGGCCACCGCCCCAGCAGGCCAGAGGAAGUAGAUGCCCACGGCAGCGCCGGCGACCAGCGCCGCGGCUGCGGCGGCUUCCAGCGCGCCUUCGCGUGUGGUGAACACGUUCUUCGCCUUCUGCUUGAACGAGUCCAU
Molecule: long non-coding RNA, 626 nt
Filed under: Triticum aestivum (bread wheat)
Lineage: Eukaryota; Viridiplantae; Streptophyta; Magnoliopsida; Poales; Poaceae
Description: long non-coding RNA (TAES_LNC020346)
Source: RNAcentral